ACGAACGCUGGCGGCAGGCUUAACACAUGCAAGUCGAACGGUCUCUUCGGAGGCAGUGGCAGACGGGUGAGUAACGCGUGGGAAUCUACCUAGUUCUGCGGAACAACAGUUGGAAACGACUGCUAAUACCGCAUACGCCCUACGGGGGAAAGAUUUAUCGGAAUUAGAUGAGCCCGCGUAAGAUUAGCUAGUUGGUGGGGUAAUGGCCUACCAAGGCGACGAUCUUUAGCUGGUCUGAGAGGAUGAUCAGCCACACUGGGACUGAGACACGGCCCAGACUCCUACGGGAGGCAGCAGUGGGGAAUAUUGGACAAUGGGCGCAAGCCUGAUCCAGCCAUGCCGCGUGAGUGAUGAAGGCCUUAGGGUUGUAAAGCUCUUUCAGUGGGGAAGAUAAUGACGGUACCCACAGAAGAAGCCCCGGCUAACUUCGU
RNAcentral lists this ribosomal RNA (431 nucleotides) under uncultured bacterium. Its description in RNAcentral is "bacterial SSU rRNA". It matches the Rfam family "Bacterial small subunit ribosomal RNA", at positions 29 to 506 of the family's 1533-position model. The record is from RNAcentral.